This is a long non-coding RNA of Triticum aestivum (bread wheat), 3440 nucleotides long. RefSeq lists it as uncharacterized. NCBI's taxonomy places the organism in Eukaryota, Viridiplantae, Streptophyta, Magnoliopsida, Poales, Poaceae. The transcript has 7 exons. The record is from RefSeq and is a predicted model, not a curated record.
UUGUGUGUGAUCACUUGCUUUCUCACCUGUACUCUGAAACCUUCCUCUCCUACAAGUAAAGCUACCCUCCUUCUUCCUGCAUCUCAUCCCCUUUCCCUCCCGUGCGAUCUGAUCUUCAUUGGGUCAUCACACUACCACGCGUCACUACUGCCGCUCCGGCGUCACCCCCUGCCGCCUAAGGUCACAAUCCGUUCAAACUGAGUAACCAGGCCGUUCGUCGCCACCACCAAAGCCCAUUCAGUUGGCGUUGUUCGUGCAGCUGCCAAUGUGGUCGCUGGGGCUAGUCAACUUGAAGAUCUACAAGUCAUCAGUCCAACUUCUUGCUCUGCCGCCAGUCACUGAAGAAAGAGUCGCGUGUUGGCCACCCCAUGCUCGGCCCCCUGAUGCGGCAUUUUUUUUUCAAAAAUUUAAAGAGACUCAAGUCCAACUCGCAAACCAAUAGCAGUCCACGGUCCACUACUACAGCAAAUAUCCGAGUUUUCUUGUUGAUUUACGAGGGAUACCACAAGUCCUAUUUUUACAGAAGUUGAACUACAGGAUAUGAAGUUUGAUGGACGUGGAGGUUCUUUUGACCUUGAACUUUAUAAGAGUUCAGCUUUCACUUGAUUUUCAGUUCAAAAUUUGCAUUCUUUUCAGUACAUCAACUUAUCUGGCUUCUUCAACUGUUUGGACCAUUGCUUUGUUGAGCAAAGAAAGCUACCUUGUCUUGAAGACACUACUGCCACUUCUUUUCUCUCUACAGUCUUUUCCUUCUUCAGUCAUGAAGUAUCAGACGCUCUGCUGACUUUGAUUCGCCAAGAGCGUGAUGGAAUCAAUGCUGAUAUGGACAUCUUGAUGGGCAUUAUGCGUGGCAUAUGUCUCUCUGAAGUCAAAUCCUUCAUGAAAAAUGUUGUUGUUCAAGAUACAUAUGCUUACUACUCCAAGAAAAGUUCUGAAUGGAUUGUUUAGUACCCGAGUACCUUGCCAAAGUCAGUCGUAACUAAUGGGUUACUGAGUAGAGGUGUUGUUUCCUUUUUUUCUGAACACUAUUUAUAUGUGUUAUCUAUAGGUCCAGGAUUGUAUGGAGAAGGAAACCAUGAGAAUGAACGUGCAGAACAUCAAGGAAAUCUUGAAAAGUAUAUGUGCACUCUAUGUCUUUUUCUUAUGCUUACAAGUAUUCUGCACUCAUACUGUUAUGCAUAAGUUCAUGUUGCGUGUGGAGUUUCAGAUAUAUGAAAUUGAAUUAGGGCACCAUGCUCUCACCCAUGUAAUUUGUAGGGAAAACAUUAUAAGUUCGAAGAAAAUAAAUAUAAAAAUUCAUAUUUCAAAACAAAUGAAGUAUUUUGGAACUAAAAUGAAGUAUUUCAAAGUACAGAACUUCUAUUUAGGUUUCUUUUGUGUACUUCUAAUGUUACUGUGCAUGAACUUGUCAUUAUUUUUACAUGUUUUACAUGAUUAUUAUGGUCAUUUCGACCUUGAAAAAUUUCAUUUGCUUUUUUCCGUUCAUCUUAAAGGUCGAAGGAGCUCCCUUCAGUUCAAUGGAUUCAACAAAAUAAUCCAUGCUGCCUACUAGAACUUGCAUGUGUGCUGUGGCGUGUGUGCUGGUGCAUGCCUGGUGCCUGAUGCGGCGUGCGAGCAUGUACACAAAUUGAGCUGAGUUAUCUCUAGUAAGUGAACUCAAUGAUCUCCUGUAUCUGAACGACAGGGGAGAUGCAUCAUGUACAAAAAAGGAAUGAGUGAGUGCCUUCAUCCAAGCCACGAGCGACGAUUCGGCCUUGGCAUCACAAACUGGUUCAGUUUGAUCUCGCACGAGUGGGUAGGUCCUCGAUGGCAUGUGCGCCAGUUCCACCCUACGGUCGAAGGUCGCAGCCUCUUCCUUCUGCAGGUCACCGCCUCCUGCUUCUACAGACCGUGCCCCAUCCCCCCAUUCCCGCAGCGAACAGGCCGUUCACCACCGUCACCAUAGUUCGUUCACUACCGACAGCCGAGGCCGUUCAACGAUGCAACGACGAGGUGUGGCCUUCCCCCUUCCUCUUGACAUGUAGCAUAUUCUACAAAAUAUGAGAUGCUCUCAACUGAAUAAAGAGUGUGACAUGCAAGUUCAGGUAUUACUGCUGCAGGAGUUCAAAAAUCUCAACAAUCCAAGCUCAAACCAAAUUUCAAGAAUUGUUUCCUUCAUAAAUUAGUUUUCUUUUGGUUAAUUUGUUGUUCUGGACAGUAUAGAUGUACAUUCUUGUGUAGUACUUGUGUGCAUUGUAUAUAUUCGUUUCAAGUUCAAAAGAAUAUAAUAAAAAAGUUUAUAAAAGAACCCAGAACAUCCGGUAAUUCUGGAAUCUGAGAGUUUGGAAAAAAAUGAUAUAAAAUGAACAUGGAGAGGGUUUUUAUUUCAUAGAAGUUGUAGAACAAAAAGGAAAGAAAAACCAUGUUCUCUAUUAUUGUUAUUUUGUUACCCUCAUGGUGUUUACUGAAAUGCCUACAACAACUAAAUGUGUUUUCUUUUCAUGUUUCUCUUUUGUUAAAAUGAAGCUAAGGUGUUGUACUACUCUAUUAUGUACAUCCGGGCAUGAUGCACAGAAUAAAAUAUUAUGAGAUCCUUGGUUUACUUACAGGGUAGGUCAUUAGUUCAAACCUAACAUAGAAACUCCUUGCUUGGCAUUCGAGCUCUUGUUUUCGCAAGACUAGUACUAGUAAAUGUUAUUUCACUGUAUAUUCUUUCCUCAGUCCAUAGUUGUUGUUACCUCUAUUUUCUAUCUGAAGUUCAGUUCUAGUGCGGUGAUAGUAAAUGUUGAACAUUCAAUUUAUUAUGUUGAAUAAUAUACCGCUAAACACCCUACAAAGUUUUUGCUUGAGUGCUAUUCAAAGUCAGUUAUGUUUUCCUUUCAUGCUGCACAUGUAAAUUGAAAACGGUUGAAAUGAGAAUUUAGUAUGUUUUGGAGAGCAUAAUUUCCCAAGUGGCAAAUUUGAUCUGUACCCGUAAGUACAUGAUUAAAAUUUUAGGAUAUCCGUAAGUACAUGAUUAAAAUUUUAGGAUAUCCGUAAGUACAUGAUUAAAAUUUUAGGAUAUGUGUGGUCCCAGUAAGUACACCGAGUACUAAUUAGCAAGUUUGAUUGCUUCUGAAAACUCAAAAUGCCAACAUGUACUGAUGCAUUCCAAAACUCUGCUGUGUUUUCAAGAAAAAAAGUUGUUCGGUUUUUGGUGGCCAAGUAUUAUUGAUAUGGAGAUGAAUAACUAUGCAGAUGCACUCCUGCUAUUUUUUUGGAAAAACAAGAUGUCUUUGCAUACUUCAAAGUUGAUGCUUGCUCCCACCAUUCAGUUGCGCAAGUUCAGUGGGUGUCGUCGAGCAUGUUCAGAAGUAUGCCCUUUGUGUAAAAGUGUGAAUUUUUGUCAGUAUUUUGUAUAUUUCAUUUGGCAGAGGUUUCAUGUGAUCUUUUGGAGCUUUAUAGAUGUACUGUCAUUACAC